CUUGACGUUCUUAACAUUAUGAAAGAAAAAGAUGAUCUCUAUCAGAAGGCUGCCCAAACAUCUGUGAUCCCUGGAUAUAUCACAGGGGCAUCCAUAAAUAAAUAAGCCUUAUUCUCCUCCAGAGAGAAUUGCUUCCAAGUAGUGAUGCCAGUCAUCAAGAUUACACUAGCCACAUCAAGACCUAUGAUUGGAAAAAAGAAACAGAGGCUUUCCAGUUUCAAGCUGUCUCUUUCUUCUCAGUUACAUUUCCCAAAGUAUACUCACAGAGCCAGUUUUGGAGGUCCAGACAGUGGCUCUGACAUCAGCUUGGUUCUGCUGAGGAAUCAAAGUUAUCCUGGAUAGCACCCAAGGUAUCUACCUCCAGCUGAUACCAAAUCCAGUCAGAGCGCAAGGUCAGCUGCUCACUGCUGCCUGAAGAUCAGCCUUUCAGAGGACGGGUACAGAAUGAUAAAGCAACUAGAAGACACUUAACACAAGUUUGCAAAAAAUAACAUGAAAAAGAACUCACAUCAUUUUUAUGGCACAUUUACAGUGGUUAAUUGGUUUUUGUUAAUCUUUUGAUGUUAUUUCUAAUGAGUACCCUAAAAUUUUAAUGCUUGUGUACUACCCACCCUUACCCCCUACAGAUUUUCCAUUUUAUUUUUCAAAUAAAAACAUAUGAUGAGC
This is a long non-coding RNA of Cavia porcellus (domestic guinea pig), 666 nucleotides long. RefSeq lists it as uncharacterized. The transcript has 4 exons. Lineage: Eukaryota; Metazoa; Chordata; Mammalia; Rodentia; Caviidae. The record is from RefSeq and is a predicted model, not a curated record.